AGCGAACGCUGGCGGCAGGCUUAACACAUGCAAGUCGAACGCUCGUAGCAAUACGGGAGUGGCAGACGGGUGAGUAACGCGUGGGAAUAUGCCUUUUGGUUCGGAAUAACUCAGGGAAACUUGAGCGAAUACCGGAUAAGCCCGUGAGGGGAAAGAUUUAUCGCCAAAAGAUUAGCCCGCGUCCGAUUAGCUAGUUGGUGAGGUAAUGGCGCACCAAGGCGACGAUCGGUAGCUGGUCUGAGAGGAUGAUCAGCCACAUUGGGACUGAGACACGGCCCAAACUCCUACGGGAGGCAGCAGUGGGGAAUAUUGGACAAUGGGCGCAAGCCUGAUCCAGCCAUGCCGCGUGAGUGAUGAAGGCCUUAGGGUUGUAAAGCUCUUUUGUCCGGGAAGAUAAUGACGGUACCGGAAGAAUAAGCCCCGGCUAACUUCGUGCCAGCAGCCGCAGUAA
Molecule: ribosomal RNA, 451 nt
Filed under: uncultured bacterium
Lineage: Bacteria
Description: partial 16S ribosomal RNA
Rfam family: Bacterial small subunit ribosomal RNA
Source: RNAcentral